GCCAAUGUGGCGUAGUGGUUUGAAUGUUGGAUUAUGACUCUGGAGACCAGGGUUCAAUUUCCAGCUUGGCCA
This 72-nucleotide transfer RNA is filed under the name Phrynosoma platyrhinos (Desert horned lizard). RNAcentral's name for it is "tRNA-OTHER". The record is from RNAcentral. Lineage: Eukaryota; Metazoa; Chordata; Lepidosauria; Squamata; Phrynosomatidae.